This is a long non-coding RNA of Myripristis murdjan (pinecone soldierfish), 1949 nucleotides long. RefSeq lists it as uncharacterized. The record is from RefSeq and is a predicted model, not a curated record. NCBI's taxonomy places the organism in Eukaryota, Metazoa, Chordata, Actinopteri, Holocentriformes, Holocentridae. The transcript is spliced from 5 exons.
GGCAACCCUGCCGCCCACCCCGGUCUUCAAACAGGCCGGACGACGGCUGCCUCAUCUCUUCAUAUGUCUACCUCUGUCAGCAUUUCUGGAGAACAUAAGGACACCUUGCAGCCAAAGCUUAAUCAGGUUUAAUGAUAAAGAUCCUGACAUGUUCUUCUUGUGGGUGGAAGGUGUUGCAGAAUCCAGAGGACGGCCAGAUGUGGAGAAACCCUCGGUGCUUCAGUGGAGGUUCACAGGGAGAAACUCUUUGCAUUCCAGGGCCACAGCCUGCUGAUGUGGAAUUAGUCGCCUUGAGGUGGUUAACCCCAAAAACAGUCUACUUCAGCGAGCACACCACUCAGUGACGGUAGAGAGAGAGGGGAUGACAUGCAGAAAACAGCUUGGGCUUGGAUCCAAACCCAGUUUUGCUGUGGUCAGGACUCAGCUUUGAUAAGUGGUACACACUCUACCAGGUGAGCUACUGGGGCUUUCAUUCAGUGUGAGCAGGGUGGGGGCACAUGAAGUUUUGUGGCCCAAGGCCCCAUGACCCAACACUCCGGCCCUGCUCAGCAGUGGUUAUUUUGAAGGUUAUUUCCUUCCCCUUGCUUGGCACUUGGGCCUGCUCAGGUAGAGGUGGUCACGGUUGCUGGGAGGGGCUUUAACAGACUGAAGGUCCGGGAGCCAUGAACGCUCAUCUCAUCGCUUCAGCCUCCAGGAAACUGGUGAAUCACCGGCGCACUAAUCUCAGGAAACUCCUGUUUACCUCGACUUCAAGCACCUGUCUUAUCUGAAGAGGGAGUACACGAGGAGACCCUCCUGAUAUUAUUGAUGCAUUCAACAUGAAGUUGUCUCACUCUUGGCUUUGAAUUUAGUUCAGUGAUAUCUGCAAAAAUAAACUUUUUUUUCAUUAGCUUAGUUUAGCGUAAACAACUGGUGAUGCAAUUCAAAGCUUUACAGAGAAAUAAUUUAACUCCACUAGUAUGGUGUGUGUGUGUGUGUGUGUGUGUGUGUGUGUGUGUGUGUGCAAGAUUGUGUCUCAGUGCCAGACCUGCAAAAUGUUGUCAGAGAGGGAAAAAGAAGUGCUGGGUCUGCUCUAUAAUUGAAAGGUCAAGCCUCGGAAAUCAAAGUUCAUUCUCACUGUGAUGCAGGAAACAGCUGACACGUGUCAUGUCAUGACGCCGACGCGGGCGGGCCAAACCACCAUCAAAAUAAAAAUAAAAAUAUUGCUUACACAUCCCAAACUCAGUGGUUUGCCCUGCAAAACCUUCGUUUAAUCAUGAAGGCUAUUUAGUGUGUCGGACCCUGAUGAUUUUAGCAGAGCUGGCAAUUAUGCAACACUGACCCCUCUAAUGGAUUAAUUCCCUCGUCUUAGACUCAUUGUUGCCACAGGCAGAGAUUUUCACUGUUACCACUCCCUCAAGUGGUAAAUGGAAAAAAAAAAAAAAAAAAGUCAUUCUCUAGUGGAAUAUUACCAUGUCGGAUGAUUUUAGCUUUGGCCUAUGGCCUCAUUCACUUGUUGGUGGAGGCUCAGACGGCUCACUACAGCCCCCAUGUGUACAGAUGAGAAAAAUGUCUCUUACUUCCUGUGCUCUCACCAUGUGGGCCAUUUUCUCUCCCCAUGUCUGUUUCCUGGUGUUUCUCAUGCUAUGUAUGUAUUAUGUUAUGCACACUGGGUUUGAGAAAUGCAUGUUUUAAAUAAGAUUUCAUAAAUUUUGUUAAAUUGCUGAUGCCUGCAAUGCUCAGCAAAUCUUUGAGCCGGCAAUAUUGAAGAACGUCACAUGAAUGGCUCUCUUCAAGGGGGAGGUUUGUUGAGAUUUAUGUCAAUGUCUUAGCUUUUUUUUGAGACAUCAGUAAAAAUAUACCCUUUUCAUUCCAUUGUACAUCUGAAAUUGUAAUUCUCAUGUCUCAGUGUCUCUUUCCACUAACAAACUCAUAAAAGUAUGACUAUCAAACUAAAGACAGUGUGAUAC